AUUCUGUACUGGAGAAAAUCUAAACUAUUAGUUCUAAAGCAAGAACUGUAAUAUUUGACAACAUACAUGUUUAUGUACUGGUGAUCAUAACUGGAAAAAAGGAGGGGAUGUUCUUUUUAUGCUAGGAAAGGGAAUGAACACACAGGGGCUUUUGUUUGUCUGGUUUUAACAACAUGCAAGCCAAGGAUUAAGUUGCAACACAGAACUACAGCACUUGGAUUGCUGCUUCUUUGAUGCUCAUGAAGCCAAAUUAAUUGACAAAAUCCCCAUGUCAAAUCUUAUCAUUUUAGGGCUGGUGAACAGAUUGAUCUGAUCAACACACUUCCUAUUUUCAGCGUGUAUUGGAGUGCGGCACACAAAAUGCUGUGACAGCAUCAGCUCUAGAUAUCAUGUGCAUGUACAACAGCCCAGUAUUAUGCGGUAUUUGCCUCUGUCUAGAAGUAGUAUGUUUAUAUUCAUAUAGUACUGCAGGCCCAAUACAAUAUGGCUUUUUGAGCCAAGCUGAUUCACAUGAAGCCUAAUAUAGGCAGUGCCAGAGUGCAGAAGUAACAGUCGUUACAGUCUAAAUGCAAGUACUGAGUUGUCUUUUGUAUUAUCUUUUUCUAACGUGGUCUGCCAAAUGCUGAAAAAGUUGUAAGCCAUAGGCAAGUCUAAAUAAAGCAUUAGUUUAAGAAAGGAAUCAGGGCAUCAAUGUGGACAGCUCUGAAGACUUUUCCAUAACAUACUUUUACAUUCAAAACCAGACAAUAGAUGUAUUCAGAAUGAGAUUCAUAGUACUAGAGAAAAAAAAUUAAGAAUGCUUUCACAUAAAUCAGCAGCAUGCCUCACCUGGUUUCAGUGUGCAGAACUGGUUACCCCAACUUUAUGAGAUUAGUUUUCAAUAGCUUGCACAGUGGUUCUGACAGCUCAAUAUAUUGCAGGAGGAGGUACACCACUGCCAAACACAUAGGUAAUACAACCUUUUGACUCCUAAUACCAGUUUCUUCUUUACAUAGCUAAAGAUCAUAUAUGCCAUUUAAAGACUAAUGAUCCCGCCCAUCACCUUCCCUUAGCUUCAUGCCCUAAAAUCUGCACUGCUGCUACCACCAAACUGAGUUUUUUUGUCUGCUGGAAAUAAGGAUGAAGUUAGUUAUUUAAUCAGCAUUCUGUGGGAGGGAGAACACAGGAUGCAUUCUUCCCUGGCUGGGAAAUCUUGGACCAGCUCUAAAGAAAUAAAUGGAGUCAGCUCAGCAAUAUUUCUGGGGCUAGAUAGUCCAGUGACAUGAAAGUCACUUGCCAAUCUGAAUGGAACUUGUGUACAUGAACUGAGAAGUCUAGGGUUUGUUUACAAUAUGCCUGUCUCUGAUCUUCUUACGUUUGUUAUAGUCAAAGUUUUCCUAUUGCUGCAAUAUAGUUGCUUGCAUUUGCAAACUGUGUAUUAAAAAUUAAUUUAUCUCUCUGGGUCUAAUACCCAAAGAGCUACAUGUGAUUUUGUACCUGUACCGUCAGUUACAGAAAUGCUUUCCAUAGCCAUAUGAUUCAGAGACUUAAGUGAGAACACAGCUGGAAUACAUGUCUCUAUGGAGAGAACUGCUGUGUCUAGUCUGUCUUAGUGUCACGGCUUAAAGUGCAACAAUAGGCCUUAACUGGCCUGACCAGUCUCACCUGGGACUCACAUCCUCUGCCCAGGGCCUGGGAGCUCCAUUUUACCUCCAUUUAGGCCUGAGUGACUGUCCUGGUUUUGGCUGAGAUAAUUUUCUUUCCAGUAGCUGGUAUAGUGUUAUGUCUUGGAUUCAGUAUGAGAAUAACGUA
Molecule: long non-coding RNA, 1791 nt
Organism: Aquila chrysaetos chrysaetos
Lineage: Eukaryota; Metazoa; Chordata; Aves; Accipitriformes; Accipitridae
Exons: 3
Source: RefSeq, a predicted model, not a curated record